RNAcentral lists this ribosomal RNA (441 nucleotides) under uncultured bacterium. Its description in RNAcentral is "partial 16S ribosomal RNA". It matches the Rfam family "Bacterial small subunit ribosomal RNA", at positions 339 to 795 of the family's 1533-position model. The record is from RNAcentral.
CUACGGGACGCUGCAGUGGGGAAUAUUGGGCAAUGGGCGCAAGCCUGACCCAGCAACGCCGCGUGAGGGAAGAAGGUUUUCGGAUUGUAAACCUCUGUCCUUGGGGACGAAGAAGUGACGGUACCCAAGGAGGUAGCUCCGGCUAACUACGUGCCAGCAGCCGCGGUAAUACGUAGGGAGCAAGCGUUGUCCGGAAUUACUGGGCGUAAAGGGUGCGUAGGCGGCAUAUUAAGUCAGGUGUGAAAUACUCGGGCUCAACCCGGGGGCUGCAUUUGAAACUGAUAUGCUUGAGUGUGAGAGAGGAAAGUGGAAUUCCUAGUGUAGCGGUGGCAUGCGUAGAUAUUAGGAGGAACACCAGUGGCGAAGGCGACUUUCUGGCUCAUAACUGACGCUGAGGCACGAAAGCGUGGGGAGCAAACAGGAUUAGAUACCCGCGUAGUC